Molecule: ribosomal RNA, 495 nt
Filed under: uncultured bacterium
Lineage: Bacteria
Description: partial 16S ribosomal RNA
Rfam family: Bacterial small subunit ribosomal RNA
Source: RNAcentral
GACGAACGCUGGCGGCGUGCCUAAUACAUGCAAGUAGAACGCUGAAGGAGGAGCUUGCUCUUCUGGAUGAGUUGCGAACGGGUGAGUAACGCGUAGGUAACCUGCCUGGUAGCGGGGGAUAACUAUUGGAAACGAUAGCUAAUACCGCAUAACAGUAGAUGUUGCAUGACAUUUGCUUAAAAGAUGCAAUUGCAUCACUACCAGAUGGACCUGCGUUGUAUUAGCUAGUUGGUGGGGUAACGGCUCACCAAGGCGACGAUACAUAGCCGACCUGAGAGGGUGAUCGGCCACACUGGGACUGAGACACGGCCCAGACUCCUACGGGAGGCAGCAGUAGGGAAUCUUCGGCAAUGGACGGAAGUCUGACCGAGCAACGCCGCGUGAGUGAAGAAGGGUUUCGGAUCGUAAAGCUCUGUUGUAAGAGAAGAACGAGUGUGAGAGUGGAAAGUUCACACUGUGACGGUAUCUUACCAGAAAGGGACGGCUAACUACGUG